RNAcentral lists this unclassified non-coding RNA (155 nucleotides) under uncultured Diaporthe. RNAcentral describes it as "sequence contains ITS2". The record is from RNAcentral. Lineage: Eukaryota; Fungi; Ascomycota; Sordariomycetes; Diaporthales; Diaporthaceae.
CAACCCUCAAGCCUGGCUUGGUGUUGGGGCACUGCUUCGAGAGAAGCAGGCCCUGAAAUCUAGUGGCGAGCUCGCUAGGACCCCGGGCGUAGUAGUUAUAUCUCGUUCUGGAAGGCCCUGGCGGUGCCCUGCCGUUAAACCCCCAACUUCUGAAA